RNAcentral lists this ribosomal RNA (2539 nucleotides) under Salmonella enterica. RNAcentral describes it as "bacterial LSU rRNA". It matches the Rfam family "Bacterial large subunit ribosomal RNA", at positions 490 to 2925 of the family's 2925-position model. Lineage: Bacteria; Pseudomonadati; Pseudomonadota; Gammaproteobacteria; Enterobacterales; Enterobacteriaceae. The record is from RNAcentral.
GUGAACCAGUACCGUGAGGGAAAGGCGAAAAGAACCCCGGCGAGGGGAGUGAAAAAGAACCUGAAACCGUGUACGUACAAGCAGUGGGAGCACCCUUCGGGGUGUGACUGCGUACCUUUUGUAUAAUGGGUCAGCGACUUAUAUUCUGUAGCAAGGUUAACCGUAUAGGGGAGCCGGAGGGAAACCGAGUCUUAAUUGGGCGUUAAGUUGCAGGGUAUAGACCCGAAACCCGGUGAUCUAGCCAUGGGCAGGUUGAAGGUUGGGUAACACUAACUGGAGGACCGAACCGACUAAUGUUGAAAAAUUAGCGGAUGACCUGUGGCUGGGGGUGAAAGGCCAAUCAAACCGGGAGAUAGCUGGUUCUCCCCGAAAGCUAUUUAGGUAGCGCCUCGUGAAUUCAUCUCCGGGGGUAGAGCACUGUUUCGGCUAGGGGGCCAUCCCGGCUUACCAACCCGAUGCAAACUGCGAAUACCGGAGAAUGUUAUCACGGGAGACACACGGCGGGUGCUAACGUCCGUCGUGAAGAGGGAAACAACCCAGACCGCCAGCUAAGGUCCCAAAGUCAUGGUUAAGUGGGAAACGAUGUGGGAAGGCCCAGACAGCCAGGAUGUUGGCUUAGAAGCAGCCAUCAUUUAAAGAAAGCGUAAUAGCUCACUGGUCGAGUCGGCCUGCGCGGAAGAUGUAACGGGGCUAAACCAUGCACCGAAGCUGCGGCAGCGAACGUAUCACCCAAGACAACUUUACGGAGUUGACGAUUGACGGAGCGAAGCGACGUCAAAGCGUUCAUUAAAGUCGAGUUGGCUUAGGGAUACGUUCGUUGGGUAGGGGAGCGUUCUGUAAGCCUGUGAAGGUGUGUCGUGAGGCAUGCUGGAGGUAUCAGAAGUGCGAAUGCUGACAUAAGUAACGAUAAAGCGGGUGAAAAGCCCGCUCGCCGGAAGACCAAGGGUUCCUGUCCAACGUUAAUCGGGGCAGGGUGAGUCGACCCCUAAGGCGAGGCCGAAAGGCGUAGUCGAUGGGAAACGGGUUAAUAUUCCCGUACUUGGUGUUACUGCGAAGGGGGGACGGAGAAGGCUAUGUUGGCCGGGCGACGGUUGUCCCGGUUUAAGCGUGUAGGUGUGUGUUCCAGGUAAAUCCGGUUCACUUUAACACUGAGGCGUGACGACGAGGCACUACGGUGCUGAAGCAACAAAUGCCCUGCUUCCAGGAAAAGCCUCUAAGCAUCAGGUAACAUCAAAUCGUACCCCAAACCGACACAGGUGGUCAGGUAGAGAAUACCAAGGCGCUUGAGAGAACUCGGGUGAAGGAACUAGGCAAAAUGGUGCCGUAACUUCGGGAGAAGGCACGCUGACACGUAGGUGAAGUGAUUUACUCAUGGAGCUGAAGUCAGUCGAAGAUACCAGCUGGCUGCAACUGUUUAUUAAAAACACAGCACUGUGCAAACACGAAAGUGGACGUAUACGGUGUGACGCCUGCCCGGUGCCGGAAGGUUAAUUGAUGGGGUCAGCGCAAGCGAAGCUCCUGAUCGAAGCCCCGGUAAACGGCGGCCGUAACUAUAACGGUCCUAAGGUAGCGAAAUUCCUUGUCGGGUAAGUUCCGACCUGCACGAAUGGCGUAAUGAUGGCCAGGCUGUCUCCACCCGAGACUCAGUGAAAUUGAACUCGCUGUGAAGAUGCAGUGUACCCGCGGCAAGACGGAAAGACCCCGUGAACCUUUACUAUAGCUUGACACUGAACAUUGAGCCUUGAUGUGUAGGAUAGGUGGGAGGCUUUGAAGUGUGGACGCCAGUCUGCAUGGAGCCGACCUUGAAAUACCACCCUUUAAUGUUUGAUGUUCUAACGUGGACCCGUAAUCCGGGUUGCGGACAGUGUCUGGUGGGUAGUUUGACUGGGGCGGUCUCCUCCUAAAGAGUAACGGAGGAGCACGAAGGUUGGCUAAUCCUGGUCGGACAUCAGGAGGUUAGUGCAAUGGCAUAAGCCAGCUUGACUGCGAGCGUGACGGCGCGAGCAGGUGCGAAAGCAGGUCAUAGUGAUCCGGUGGUUCUGAAUGGAAGGGCCAUCGCUCAACGGAUAAAAGGUACUCCGGGGAUAACAGGCUGAUACCGCCCAAGAGUUCAUAUCGACGGCGGUGUUUGGCACCUCGAUGUCGGCUCAUCACAUCCUGGGGCUGAAGUAGGUCCCAAGGGUAUGGCUGUUCGCCAUUUAAAGUGGUACGCGAGCUGGGUUUAGAACGUCGUGAGACAGUUCGGUCCCUAUCUGCCGUGGGCGCUGGAGAACUGAGGGGGGCUGCUCCUAGUACGAGAGGACCGGAGUGGACGCAUCACUGGUGUUCGGGUUGUCAUGCCAAUGGCACUGCCCGGUAGCUAAAUGCGGAAGAGAUAAGUGCUGAAAGCAUCUAAGCACGAAACUUGCCCCGAGAUGAGUUCUCCCUGAGACUUAGAGUCUCCUGAAGGAACGUUGAAGACGACGACGUUGAUAGGCCGGGUGUGUAAGCGCAGCGAUGCGUUGAGCUAACCGGUACUAAUGAACCGUGAGGCUUAACC